CGUAGGCGGAUAGAUCAAAAUAUAGUAAAAGACUGAGGUAGGCCCUCUUUAAUCUAUAUUUACUGAUCAUCUGAGUUCCAAAGGCGAUAUAUUGAAUUCCUUAGGUAAGGGUUAAAUUGUUGAUAUUGGAAGACAUUCGAAAGCGGAAGCAUUUAUCGAUUUGGAUCUGACGCUAGGUACUAAAGUAUGGGUAUGAAGAGGAUUAGAGACCUUGUAGUCCAUACCUUAAACUAUGAGUGUUCAACGUCCUUUUUGCAUUGGAAAAGUUAGUCAUUUUGAUUUGAGCUUUUUACAAGGAGCAUAAGGGGGUUUAAAGCUAACGCGUGAAACACCGCCUGGGGAAUGUGGCCGCAAGGUUAAACUCAAAGGAAUUGAGGAGGCUUGUACAAGG
RNAcentral lists this ribosomal RNA (391 nucleotides) under Diderma globosum var. globosum. Its description in RNAcentral is "partial small subunit ribosomal RNA". It matches the Rfam family "Bacterial small subunit ribosomal RNA", at positions 570 to 930 of the family's 1533-position model. The record is from RNAcentral. Lineage: Eukaryota; Evosea; Eumycetozoa; Physariida; Didymiaceae.